Molecule: ribosomal RNA, 426 nt
Filed under: Loktanella sp. 10-32
Lineage: Bacteria; Pseudomonadati; Pseudomonadota; Alphaproteobacteria; Rhodobacterales; Roseobacteraceae
Description: bacterial SSU rRNA
Rfam family: Bacterial small subunit ribosomal RNA
Source: RNAcentral
AGACGACGCUGCGGCACGCUAACACAUGCAAGUCGAGCGCACCUUCGGGUGAGCGGCGGACGGGUUAGUAACGCGUGGGAACGUACCCUUUUCUGCGGAAUAGCCUCUGGAAACGGAGAGUAAUACCGCAUACGCCCUUCGGGGGAAAGAUUUAUCGGUGAAGGAUCGGCCCGCGUUAGAUUAGAUAGUUGGUGGGGUAAUGGCCUACCAAGUCUACGAUCUAUAGCUGGUUUGAGAGGAUGAUCAGCAACACUGGGACUGAGACACGGCCCAGACUCCUACGGGAGGCAGCAGUGGGGAAUCUUAGACAAUGGGGGAAACCCUGAUCUAGCGAUGCCGCGUGUGUGACGAAGGCCUUAGGGUCGUAAAGCACUUUCGCCAGGGAUGAUAAUGACAGUACCGUGUAAAAAACCCCGGCUAACUCCU